Molecule: long non-coding RNA, 377 nt
Organism: Boleophthalmus pectinirostris (great blue-spotted mudskipper)
Lineage: Eukaryota; Metazoa; Chordata; Actinopteri; Gobiiformes; Gobiidae
Exons: 2
Source: RefSeq, a predicted model, not a curated record
CAGUCGCUCAGUGCAUGCUUGUUGGCCCUUCUGACAUGAUCCUGACAAUCUGUCUCCACCAGCCCUGGCUUCGGACUUUCAUCCACUGCUCUUUGGAUUUGUGAGCGGGAUGCGGGAGUGGGCAGAGCCGACAGACGUAAAGCGCGAUGACAGAAUUCUCGACGUGCUGCUUAAUUAUCAUCAAAACGACUGCGAGAAAAGUUUGGAUCGUGUUUGUGUCCAUGGCGUAACGACAAACAGAGAUGACAGAAAAGUCGGUAGCAGCUGAAGUGUGUGUUUUCUUCCCGUCGCCGUAAAUAUGUUCGUGUCCCUGUCCAAUCAGAACCCUUCCCCAGUUCCAGACGUUGAGAGGAAUAAAAAAAAGGCGAUUUAAUGUG